This 1374-nucleotide long non-coding RNA is filed under the name Manacus vitellinus (golden-collared manakin). Its description in RNAcentral is "lncRNA (ENSMVIG00005014178.1)". Lineage: Eukaryota; Metazoa; Chordata; Aves; Passeriformes; Pipridae. The record is from RNAcentral.
GAACUAAUAUGGGGUUUAUGCUUCCCACAGACAUUUUUUGGUUAAGAACUUAGAGAAAGACACGAAAGCAAGACAAUAGAAAAUAAAAUAUCACAGUCUUUCUCCCCUCCUUCUUUAGGAUCGAAUUUGCUUAUCUUGUGUCUGAAGAUAAAGUUGAAUUCUUCAGCUAGAGGGAGGAGUAAACUUGGUAUCUUCUUUACUUACGGUAACUGCAGAGCAUUGUCAAGAGAAAAGAAUGUUGGGUUUACUCUUUUGAUAUCAAUGGAGUAAAACAGGCAGGGAAGACACAUGUCAGUCAGUCAAAAUGCUUUACUAAACCAGUUUAAAUGGUUUAGGAAUACGUGGUUAGUAUAGAAUUAAGAAAUGAGAUCCUGAAGGUAACUUUGGAAACAAAAAGUGCAGUGGUUGAUCUUUCAUACUCCCAAAUAAAUAUUUUCAUGUGUGUGGUACUUCAGCAUCAGUUCUGUCUGUCCCAUAGCUCUCUGUAGCUGAUGUAGAGCACCACUGCAGUAUGUCCUGAACAGCACAUUCAAGGAGAGAUUCAACUUGCACUUUUAGCGAUUAAUUUCAUUUUGUUAAAACACAAAACCAGUGGAAAAUGUCUGCAUUUCAGUAUCUUGAUAAUAUAAAUGGUUGACAUUUUCAGUGUGAGUAGUUCUAUGAUCAGUGAUACCUGUUUGUGAAACCAAGGUGCUUCCAUUCUUGUGCUCUGCUGAUUGUGUCUUUAUAUAAAAAUCUCAAAUAUUUAAAACAUUUGGAUUUACGAUUUCUGCUGUUGACACUUAGCACCAUUUACACUGUUUGAAAACAUAUUUCAGAAUGAAAAUGUAUUUAGAUUUUUGCCUUUUCAGUGACAGAACAAUUGUGCAGUGAACAAAGGAAAGAUUGAGGAAAUAAUCUCUACAGUUACUAAUGUUCUGCACUGGACAGGAAGUUUCAGAGCAAUUGUCCUGUGGCAAGGCCAGUUAUCAUCAUCACAGCAUGAAGGAUGUAUUGGUCUGACCAAGGCUUCAGUGUCACAAGCAGCUAGGACUGACCUUUUCCCACAUUGCCGAGGUGAAAUCGCCUCACGGUGGAAGCACCUGGCCAGCAGAGCUAGGGCAAGGUGAGCAGCAGGACUUCUGGAGCCUGUGCCAGAGCAGGGCCAGACGUUUCUAGUUUGGUGUUAGAUCCUCUCACCUGUAACCUGACACAGCAAAACACUGGCUGUUGUAACUACACUUUCCCCUGAGCAGUAACAGGAGCGUGAGAUAUUGAAAACUUUCCCGUUUGAACUGCCAUUUCUGGAGUUAUACUUUGCUGUUAAUAAGGAUGUCCAGUUGUUGGGAAAUGCUCACUGGGCAUUCUGGAUUUGCUACCCAGCUCAGGUUUUCA